This 252-nucleotide ribosomal RNA is filed under the name Salmonella enterica subsp. enterica serovar Binza. Its description in RNAcentral is "partial 23S ribosomal RNA". It matches the Rfam family "Bacterial large subunit ribosomal RNA", at positions 81 to 369 of the family's 2925-position model. Lineage: Bacteria; Pseudomonadati; Pseudomonadota; Gammaproteobacteria; Enterobacterales; Enterobacteriaceae. The record is from RNAcentral.
GUAAGGUGAUAUGAACCGUUAUAACCGGCGAUACCCGAAUGGGGAAACCCAGUGUGACUCGUCACACUAUCAUUAACUGAAUCCAUAGGUUAAUGAGGCGAACCGGGGGAACUGAAACAUCUAAGUACCCCGAGGAAAAGAAAUCAACCGAGAUUCCCCCAGUAGCGGCGAGCGAACGGGGAGGAGCCCAGAGCCUGAAUCAGCAUGUGUGUUAGUGGAAGCGUCUGGAAAGGCGCGCGAUACAGGGUGACA